UGCCCUGUAGUGUAACGGUAACACGACUGCCUCUGGAGCAGUUAUUCUUGGUUCGAAACCAAGCGGGGCAACCA
This 74-nucleotide transfer RNA is filed under the name Methanobacteriota archaeon. RNAcentral's name for it is "Euryarchaeota archaeon tRNA-Gln". It matches the Rfam family "tRNA". Rfam says of the family: Transfer RNA (tRNA) molecules are approximately 80 nucleotides in length. Their secondary structure includes four short double-helical elements and three loops (D, anti-codon, and T loops). Further hydrogen bonds mediate the characteristic L-shaped molecular structure. tRNAs have two regions of fundamental functional importance: the anti-codon, which is responsible for specific mRNA codon recognition, and the 3' end, to which the tRNAs corresponding amino acid is attached (by aminoacyl-tRNA synthetases). tRNAs cope with the degeneracy of the genetic code in two manners: having more than one tRNA (with a specific anti-codon) for a particular amino acid; and 'wobble' base-pairing, i.e. permitting non-standard base-pairing at the 3rd anti-codon position. Lineage: Archaea; Methanobacteriati; Methanobacteriota. RNAcentral also lists the same sequence under 1 other name. The record is from RNAcentral.